Molecule: microRNA, 21 nt
Filed under: Gossypium raimondii (Peruvian cotton)
Lineage: Eukaryota; Viridiplantae; Streptophyta; Magnoliopsida; Malvales; Malvaceae
Description: gra-miR7486d
Source: miRBase by way of RNAcentral
UGGGGGCGCGCUUUGCUUACG